AUUACUUUGGCAGAAUAGUGUAAUGAGUUUAGAAUUCAUAAAUGUAUAAAUUAUACAAGUAAUA
RNAcentral lists this transfer RNA (64 nucleotides) under Inocellia tibetana. RNAcentral's name for it is "tRNA-Leu". Lineage: Eukaryota; Metazoa; Arthropoda; Insecta; Raphidioptera; Inocelliidae. The record is from RNAcentral.